CUGGGGGAUAAGCUCGUGGGGUCUGACGGCUUCCAGGCCGACGAGAAGAAACUCACAGAGGAAGAGGAAGAGGCGCUUGGAAGCCACAACAGAAGUGAAUGUUGUGGAGAAGAAAGGCAGUUACCUGUUCGAGCGUGGGCAGAUGGUCGGGAUCAGUGUCACCGUCGUCGCGGUCACCGAUUUUUGCUCUGGGAAAGCUUCGGUCCUACUCCUACCCUCGCUAUGCUGACGUCGCUCGUCUUCGGUCCUACUGCCACCGAGGAGAAUCAAACCGCUUCCCUUUUCACCAGAAAGAGAGAGGACCCUAGAAGUAUCGCGGAGCCCAAAAGCGGCUAUCGCCGGACCACGCGGGCGAGCGGGGGAAGAUGGAGUUUUGGGGGUGAAGUCUCCUGCGCACCCGCCGCCGCUGCUUUACCACCUCCUUGUCGAACCCCACCACACGGAGCUCCACGGUGA
RNAcentral lists this unclassified non-coding RNA (456 nucleotides) under Zea mays. RNAcentral describes it as "misc RNA Zm00001eb322250". The record is from RNAcentral. Lineage: Eukaryota; Viridiplantae; Streptophyta; Magnoliopsida; Poales; Poaceae.